Molecule: unclassified non-coding RNA, 208 nt
Filed under: Hevea brasiliensis (rubber tree)
Lineage: Eukaryota; Viridiplantae; Streptophyta; Magnoliopsida; Malpighiales; Euphorbiaceae
Source: RNAcentral
ACUAGAAAUUGUUGUUAAGGAACCAUCUGUUAUACGGACUUUUUCUUUUCCUAACAUGGAGAAUGGGUAGAGAAUUUAUUUGAAUAGCUUGUUGUAUGUUUAUUUGUUUCAGAAUUUAUAAUCCAACAAGAUUUAUCAAGAUUAGCAAGAAAAAUAUUACUUGAUUUGACAAAAUUGGAAGGGACAAUUGUGGAAGAUUGAGAUUCAA